RNAcentral lists this ribosomal RNA (219 nucleotides) under uncultured bacterium. RNAcentral describes it as "partial 16S ribosomal RNA". It matches the Rfam family "Bacterial small subunit ribosomal RNA", at positions 28 to 244 of the family's 1533-position model. The record is from RNAcentral.
GACGAACGCUGGCGGCGUGCUUAACACAUGCAAGUCGAGCGGUAAGGCCCUUUCGGGGGUACACGAGCGGCGAACGGGUGAGUAACACGUGGGUGACCUGCCCUCAGCUCUGGGAUAAGCCUGGGAAACUGGGUCUAAUACUGGAUAUGACUCCACGGUGCAUGUCGGUGGGGUAGGAAAGCCUUGUGCGGCUGAGGAGUCGGGCCCGCGGCCUAUCAG